Molecule: long non-coding RNA, 259 nt
Filed under: Elaeis guineensis (African oil palm)
Lineage: Eukaryota; Viridiplantae; Streptophyta; Magnoliopsida; Arecales; Arecaceae
Description: long non-coding RNA (EGUI_LNC015555)
Source: RNAcentral
UGGCUUCUCAAGCAAGCCAUGCCGACAUGUUUGUGACUCCCACAAGGCAUGGCUCGUGGUUGGAGACUUGUGUGGGAGGAUCAGGUGUGAGCUUGAUUGGAAGAAGUUAGUUUGACCGAAGUUAGAUGGGGGCAAGGCUGUGUAUUUGUUGAUGAGAAGAAAGGAAUAAGGACAGGUGUAGAAAGUAGACUGGACCGUUGAAGUUUAACAGUGCAAUUAGCUUUGCGUCCAUUAGUUACUCCGGGCAAUAGAUCUCCGG